RNAcentral lists this ribosomal RNA (395 nucleotides) under uncultured bacterium. RNAcentral describes it as "bacterial SSU rRNA". It matches the Rfam family "Bacterial small subunit ribosomal RNA", at positions 358 to 770 of the family's 1533-position model. The record is from RNAcentral.
GGAAUAUUGGACAAUGGGGGAAACCCUGAUCCAGCCAUGCCGCGUGAGUGAAGAAGGCCCUAGGGUUGUAAAACUCUUUCAGCGGGGAAGAUUAUGACGGUACCCGCAGAAGAAGCCCCGGCUAACUCCGUGCCAGCAGCCGCGGUAAUACGGAGGGGGCUAGCGUUGUUCGGAAUCACUGGGCGUAAAGCGCGCGUAGGCGGUCCGCAUAGUCAGGCGUGAAAGCCCCGGGCUCAACCUGGGAACUGCGCUUGAUACUGGCGGGCUAGAGUACGGGAGAGGGUAGUGGAAUUCCCAGUGUAGAGGUGAAAUUCGUAGAUAUUGGGAAGAACACCAGUGGCGAAGGCGGCUACCUGGACCGGUACUGACGCUGAGGUGCGAAAGCGUGGGGAGCA